RNAcentral lists this ribosomal RNA (464 nucleotides) under uncultured Opitutus sp. RNAcentral describes it as "partial 16S ribosomal RNA". The record is from RNAcentral. Lineage: Bacteria; Pseudomonadati; Verrucomicrobiota; Opitutia; Opitutales; Opitutaceae.
GACUACAAGGGUAUCUAAUCCCGUUUGCUCCCCACGCUUUCGUGCCUGAGCGUCAGCAAUUGUCCAGGAAGUCGCCUUCGCCUCUGGUGUUCCUCACGAUAUCUACGCAUUUCACUGCUACACCGUGAAUUCCACUUCCCUCUCCAAUGCUCUAGCCGUGUAGUUUGAGGCGCAGUUCCGGAGUUAAGCUCCGGGAUUUCACACCUCACACACACGGCCGCCUGCGCACCCUUUACGCCCAGUGAAUCCGAAUAACGCUUGCAGUCUCUGUAUUACCGCGGCUGCUGGCACAGAGUUAGCCACUGCUUCCUCUCCGGGUUAAGUCAGGCUAGGCGAUAUUAUCGCAUAGCGUUUCUUCCCCGGUGACAGAGGUUUACGAUCCGAAGACCUUCAUCCCUCACGCGGCGUCGCACCAUCAGGCUUUCGCCCAUUGUGAAUGAUUCCCCACUGCUGCCUCCCGUAGG